GGGGUUGUGGCUCAGUGGUAGAGUGCUUGCCUGGCAUGCAUAAGGCAUUGGGUUCCAUCCCCGGCACCA
Ictidomys tridecemlineatus (thirteen-lined ground squirrel) is the source of this 69-nucleotide non-coding RNA. The record is from Rfam. Lineage: Eukaryota; Metazoa; Chordata; Mammalia; Rodentia; Sciuridae.